CCUACGGGUGGCAGCAGUGGGGAAUAUUGCGCAAUGGGCGAAAGCCUGACGCAGCGACGCCGCGUGAGGGAUGAAGGUCUUCGGAUCGUAAACCUCUGUCAGCAGGGAAGAACGGUCACUGUGCUAAUCAGCAGUGAAUUGACGGUACCUGCAAAGGAAGCACCGGCUAACUCCGUGCCCGCAGCCGCGGUAAUACGGAGGGUGCGGGCGUUAAUCGGAAUUACUGGGCGGAAAGCGCUCGUAGGCGGUAUGUCAAGUCAAGGGUGAAAUCCCCGCGCUCAACGGGGGAACUGCCUUUGAUACUGGCAAACUGGAGUGUGUGAGAGGUUAGUGGAAUUCGAGGUGUAGGAGUGAAAUCCGUAGAUAUCUGGAGGAACAUCAGUGGCGAAGGCGACUAUCUGGCACAUAACUGACGCUGAGGAGCGAAAGCGUGGGUAGCAAACAGGAUUAGAUACCCGGGUAGUC
Molecule: ribosomal RNA, 465 nt
Filed under: uncultured bacterium
Lineage: Bacteria
Description: partial 16S ribosomal RNA
Rfam family: Bacterial small subunit ribosomal RNA
Source: RNAcentral